RNAcentral lists this ribosomal RNA (429 nucleotides) under Chloroflexota bacterium. Its description in RNAcentral is "Chloroflexi bacterium partial 16S ribosomal RNA". It matches the Rfam family "Bacterial small subunit ribosomal RNA", at positions 355 to 776 of the family's 1533-position model. The record is from RNAcentral. Lineage: Bacteria; Bacillati; Chloroflexota.
UGGGGAAUAUUGCACAAUGGGCGCAAGCCUGAUGCAGCCAUGCCGCGUGUGUGAAGAAGGCCUUCGGGUUGUAAAGCACUUUCAGCGGGGAGGAAGGCGGUGAGGUUAAUAACCUCACCGAUUGACGUUACCCGCAGAAGAAGCACCGGCUAACUCCGUGCCAGCAGCCGCGGUAAUACGGAGGGUGCAAGCGUUAAUCGGAAUUACUGGGCGUAAAGCGCACGCAGGCGGUCUGUCAAGUCGGAUGUGAAAUCCCCGGGCUCAACCUGGGAACUGCAUUCGAUACUGGCAAGCUUGAGUCUCGUAGAGGGGGGUAGAAUUCCAGGUGUAGCGGUGAAAUGCGUAGAGAUCUGGAGGAAUACCGGUGGCGAAGGCGGCCCCCUGGACGAAGACUGACGCUCAGGUGCGAAAGCGUGGGGAGCAAACAGG